RNAcentral lists this ribosomal RNA (1320 nucleotides) under Cornitermes sp. CD-2014. RNAcentral describes it as "16S ribosomal RNA". The stretch from base 873 to 1243 matches the Rfam family "Bacterial large subunit ribosomal RNA", at positions 2073 to 2647 of the family's 2925-position model. Lineage: Eukaryota; Metazoa; Arthropoda; Insecta; Blattodea; Termitidae. The record is from RNAcentral.
UAUUUGUUGAUUGGCUUGUUUUAUGUAAUUUGUAUUUGUUUAUAUUUUAAUUGAAGAAUCAUUAGGGUUAUUGUAUUUUUGUGAUUUAAUUUUUUAAACGAUAGUUUAUUUGUACUGUGAAGGGUAGAUUAUUAUUUUAAUGUUUAUUUAAAAGUUGAUUUUAUUUGUUGUACCUUGUGUAUCAGGGUUUAUUGAAUUUUAUUAUUUAUUUUUAUUUCCCGAUUUUGAAGGAGUUAAUAAUUUAUGUUAGUUACUGUUUUAGUAUUAUUAAAAAUAAUUUAUUAGUAAUGAAAUGUUAUUCGUCUUUGGUGGUCUCUGGUUUUUCAAGAAAUGAAUUUAAUUCAUACAUCUUAUUUAAUUUCUGUUGUUUUUUAUUUAUUUUAAUUUGAUGUUAAGAUUAAGGGGGAUUAGCUCCUUAUUUUAUUUUUAUAAUUUUCUUAUAUAUUUAGUUUUGUGGAUUUUAUAGUGAUUUUCAAUUUGAUUAUGUUAAAAUUUUAUUUGUUCUUUUGUUUAUUUUAUUUUAUUUAAUUUUUUAUUGAAAUAUUUGUUUUAAUUUGUGGUUGCAUGGUGAUUAUUGUGAAAUUAGUAAAUUUAUUUUUUAUGUUGUAUUAUUGGAUGUUAAUUUCUUUUAAGGAAUUAGGCAAAUUUUUUAUGUUCGCCUGUUUAACAAAAACAUCUUUUCUUGUUAGUUUUUGAAGUAUGGCCUGCCCACUGACUUUGAGUUGAAGGGCCGCGGUAUUUUGACCGUGCAAAGGUAGCAUAAUCAUUAGUUCUUUAAUUGUGAUCUGGUAUGAAUGGCUUGACGAGAUAUAAGCUGUCUUAAGAGUAUUGUUUAUUGAAUUUAGUUUUUGAGUUAAAAUUCUUAGAUGUUUUUAUGGGACGAGAAGACCCUAUAGAGUUUGACAUUUGUUUUGUUUAGGUUUAGUAGUUUGUUUUAUUUAUAUAAGCUGAAUUAAUGUUUUGUUGGGGUGAUGGGAGGAAUUUAUUUAACUCCUCUUUGCUUUUAUAUAUUUAUUUAUAUUUUGUUUGAUCCAUUUAUUUUGAUUAUAAGAUUAAAUUACCUUAGGGAUAACAGCGUUAUCUUCCCUGAGAGUUCUUAUUGGCGGGGAGGUUUGCGACCUCGAUGUUGGAUUAAGGUGAAUUUUUGGUGCAGGAGCUGAAGUUGAUUGGGUCUGUUCGACCUUUAAAAUCUUACAUGAUCUGAGUUCAAACCGGCGUGAGCCAGGUUGGUUUCUAUCUAUAAAUAGUUUUUAUACCUCAGUACGAGAGGACCGGGUAUUUGGAAUAAUUUUGUUUAAUAUGAUUGUCAUUAAUAUUGUU